RNAcentral lists this ribosomal RNA (497 nucleotides) under uncultured bacterium. Its description in RNAcentral is "partial 16S ribosomal RNA". It matches the Rfam family "Bacterial small subunit ribosomal RNA", at positions 28 to 507 of the family's 1533-position model. The record is from RNAcentral.
GAUGAACGCUGGCGGCGUGCCUAAUACAUGCAAGUCGAGCGAACAGAUGAGUAGCUUGCUCCUCUGACGUUAGCGGCGGACGGGUGAGUAACACUUGGAUAACCUACCUAUAAGACUGUGAUAACUUCGGGAAACCGGAGCUAAUACCGGAUAAUAUAUUGAACCGCAUGGUUCAAUAGUUAAAGACGGUUUUGCUGUCACUUAUAGAUGGCUCCGCGCCGAAUUAGCUAGUUGGUAAGGUAACGGCUUACCAAGGCAACGAUGCGUAGCCGACCUGAGAGGGUGAUCGGCCACACUGGAAGUGAGACACGGUCCAGACUCCUACGGGAGGCAGCAGUAGGGAAUCUUCCGCAAUGGGCGAAAGCCUGACGGAGCAAAGCCGCGUGAGUGAUGAAGGUCUUCGGAUCGUAAAACUCUGUUAUUAGGGAAGAACAAAUGUGUAAGUAACUAUGCACGUCUUGACGGUACCUAAUCAGAAAGCCACGGCUAACUACGUG